Molecule: long non-coding RNA, 1278 nt
Organism: Stegostoma tigrinum
Lineage: Eukaryota; Metazoa; Chordata; Chondrichthyes; Orectolobiformes; Stegostomatidae
Exons: 3
Source: RefSeq, a predicted model, not a curated record
UAUCCGUCAGUCCCCCGCGCGCCGAAGUCUUCCACUCUGACGAGGCGGAGGAGUGAGCAGUUGAAUUUUCAAUGUAUACCUGUCUCUCCGGAACAAGAAUCAGGCAGAAAUCCUCGUGUUAGACACGGCGAAGAAAAUAUAGAAAAAGGCAUUGCCCCCUAUUGAUUCCUGUGCAAUUACAGGCACAUCCCACUGGUGUCAGCUGUUGACCGCAUAAUGUUCAGCAGCUUCUGUCAGUCCUCAGGUACAGGAGCCAUCCGUGUCCAAAGUCAGCAAGAUGAUAUUCCCAGGUUUGGGCUGACAAGUGGCAUUCACAGCACACGCACGUCAGGCCAUGAACAUCUCUGAACGGACAGAAUCAAACUGUCGACCUCCGGAGUUCAAAAGCUUCACCGUCACUGAACCAACCCCAGCCCCGUCACUGUCCCGGAGUUACCGUUGAUCCGAAGCUGAGGUGAACUCUGCUGUCCAUAUAAAUACAGUGGCUACAAAGGCAGACUCGUGAGCAUAUCACAGAGUGGAGCUGGGGGAACGCAGCAGAUCCGGCAACAUCAGGGGAGCAGGAAAGCUGACGUUUCGGCUCUGCGGGACCCCUCUUCAGAAAUCAAAGGCGACAGGUUUGAACUGAUCUCAGAAACCGAGGAGGGCGGCCCGGCGGUUAACUCUGCUGCCUUAGGAUCAAGGACCUUGGCUCGGUCACGGCCUCGCGUGACCGUCCGUGCGGUUUGAAGUUUGUCGGCCGGGCUGCGGAUGAGGUCGUUGAUUUGCUCGCCGAGCUGGCUUGUCUUACAUUCGGCCGCUUCAUCGCCAUGCCAGGUAAGGUCCUCAGCGAGGCCUCCGAUGAAGCGCUCUUGCUUUGCUCCGCUCGGAAUUCACGCUGACCGGUCCGUCGCGGUGUCUAUGAGGCAUUUGCACAUUCUCCCGUGUCUCUGCAGGCUACCGCCAGGUGACCUGUUGUUUUUCACCCUACGGUCCAAAGAUUGGGGGAUUGGCCAUUGUACCUAGGGACAUGUAGGCGAGGUGGAUGCCUAUGCGGGGAGAGUGCAAUGUGGCACGAUCGACUCGCUUAAUUGGUCUCUGGUUACGCUGCAAGGAUUCUUGCCCAGGCAUCACAUUUCAUCGAGGUGGUGUCCCAGGCGUGAGCGGAGUUGUUCGAAUAUGUCCAAGAGGGUUUGCUGGAGGCAGAUCGAAUUGUAGCUUUCGUAAGAGAGGUGGGUAAUGAUCUGAAAGAGAGGGCAUUUGCUGCAGGGCGAGCGGGAGAUGGAGUAGGGGGAGAAA